This 301-nucleotide ribosomal RNA is filed under the name uncultured bacterium. RNAcentral's name for it is "partial 16S ribosomal RNA". It matches the Rfam family "Bacterial small subunit ribosomal RNA", at positions 509 to 807 of the family's 1533-position model. The record is from RNAcentral.
CAGUAGCCGCGGUAAUACGUAGGUGGCAAGCGUUGUCCGGAAUUAUUGGGCGUAAAGGGCGCGUAGGCGGACAGUUCAGUCGGGGGUGAAAGCCCGGGGCUCAACCUCGGAAUUGCCUUCGAUACUGGCUGUCUUGAGUAUGAGAGAGGUGUGUGGAACUCCGAGUGUGGAGGUGAAAUUCGUAGAUAUUCGGAAGAACACCAGUGGCGAAGGCGACACACUGGCUCAUUACUGACGCUGAGGCGCGAAAGCGUGGGGAGCAAACAGGAUUAGAUACCCCAGUAGUCCCUGUCUCUUAUAC